CCUACGGGUGGCAGCAGUGAGGAAUAUUGGUCAAUGGGCGAGAGCCUGAACCAGCCAAGUCGCGUGAGGGAGUACUGCCCUAUGGGUUGUAAACCUCUUUUGUCGGGGAGCAAAAGCCGGACGUGUCCGGCUGUGAGAGUACCCGAAGAAAAAGCAUCGGCUAACUCCGUGCCAGCAGCCGCGGUAAUACGGAGGAUGCGAGCGUUAUCCGGAUUUAUUGGGUUUAAAGGGUGCGCAGGCGGAUUUUUAAGUCAGCGGUAAAAUCGUGGGGCUCAACCCCAUCCAGCCGUUGAAACUGGGGAUCUAGAGUGUGCGAGAGGUAUGCGGAAUGCGUGGUGUAGCGGUGAAAUGCAUAGAUAUAACGAAGAACCCCGAUUGCGAAGGCAGCAUACCGGUGCACAACUGACGCUCAGGCACGAAAGCGUGGGUAUCGAACAGGAUUAGAUACCCCUGUAGUC
RNAcentral lists this ribosomal RNA (458 nucleotides) under uncultured bacterium. RNAcentral's name for it is "partial 16S ribosomal RNA". It matches the Rfam family "Bacterial small subunit ribosomal RNA", at positions 338 to 795 of the family's 1533-position model. The record is from RNAcentral.